AAUGAUUCUGACAUUUAGCCAGAUUGGACAAAUCCCUGGCCUGGGUCAUAGAACUGCUCUUCAGCUGCAAAGACCUAUGUCUCAUCUGUAUAGCCAAACCUAGAUUUUCUGACCUGGAGGACCAAACUUACUUUGCAAGGUAAAGUGAAACACAAAUAUGUAUAUAUGAGAUUUAUAUGUAUAUAUGCAUGUAUACAAUCAAAACAAUCUUUCCUUCAGCUAUACUAAAGAAUAUUAUGUAUUUUUUAAUUUUUUUAUCCUAAAUCAAAGAACAUCUUCAAAAGUGUUUUCUAGAAUGAUCACACCCAUUUCCAUCAAAAAUAGGUGAGAAGAGGAGAUAAUUUGCCUCUGAUUCCUCAUUAUCUCUGGGUAUUUCAGGAUACUAAAAACUUUUUGCAUUUUAGGAAAUCACUAUUGUAAAUAGGAUUCUGGUUUUAACUUCUUACCAAGAACUGGAGAGAUGCUGUAGGAGGGUGUUCACUCACUCUUUGGACACUAGUGCUUUGAGGGACACCAAGAUGUAUCAGGAAAUUCAUAUAUCUAUUCUGCCAAUGCAGAAUUUAUAAUCAUUUAGGGGAGAUAAGCCAUAUACCUAAGUAUCUAUACUACAACAAAAAGCAUAACUUUGAAGGGGAAAAGACUGAUCAAUUUGACUACAUUGAUAUUUUAAAAUUCUGGGCAUCAAAAUUGUAUCAGUUUUGGGGAGUGAAAAUAUGUCACAGCUUGUGAGAAAAUAUUUUCAAUGGGUAUAACUGACAUAGGAAUAAAAUCCAGAAUAUGUGAAGAACCAUAAAAAAUGAAUAAGACCAAGUACACAUUAGAAAACUAGAUAAAAAUGUGAUCAGGUAAUAAAUGGAAACUGAAUUGCCAGUAAAAUAUGAACAGUUACUCUAAUUCAAUAGUCAUUUGAGAAAUGUAAAUUUAUACCAUGAGAUACAACAAUAGUAUCAAUUUUGCAGAAAUGUUAAAUAAAUCUGAUAAUACCAGUGCUAGAAUGUAAAGCUAUGAGAAUUCAUACAUGCUUCUGGUGGAAAUGUAAAAUGGUGCAACCUCUAUCGAGAGCAGUUUGGCAAAAUUUAGUUAACAUUGAGGUCAUGCAGAUUCUGAAAACAAAUUCUAUUCCUAGGCUUAUACCCAUAUUGGUAUUAUAGCUGGAAAUAGGUGGCAUGCUCAAAGAUAAUUAAGGAGACUCUCAUAAAGGAACUAUCUACAAAGUUUGGGGCAGACAUAAGAAAAAUCAACAAAGGAUAUCAAUAUCCCAGUACUAAUGUUCAGCAUGGAGUCACCACCAGCUGUAGGCUGGAAGAUGCAGAGGAGUUACUGGAACCAUGAGAAACUGUGCUGGCUAUAGAGAGGGUCGCCCAACAGGAGAGGUGGUUCCCAAUGAAGGAAGGCAGCUGAGUGAGGUGAAAUAGAAGGAGAGCAGCCUGGGGUGCAAGUUACCCAGACUCAUUCUCCCUCUUUCCCUGUGAUAGCUUAUGGGUGCCUUCCACUGGCCUACUCAACAAGAAUUCAAACCACAGGAGCCCCUUGGUGAAGUUCAUAAAUACCAGACUGUUGAGGCACAAAGGAGAACAGAGACCUGGAGAGGGCCAAUGGAAGAAUUUAGUAUAAUCUCUAGAGAAAUCUUGACUAGGGUACAUAUUUACACAAUGGACUAUUAUAAUGAUGAAAAAUAGAAAUAACCUAAAUAUCCUUAAACAUGCAACAAUAUAACAAUGUUCUGGGAAAAAAAGAAGGCAAGGUGAGAAAAUACAUCUACGAUGUUACCUUUUAUCAUCUAAAACAUGUAAAAUAUUAUGUGAUAGUAAAGUAUACAUAGUAAGAGUGUGACAAAUUCAGGGAAGUCGUGAAUGACAAAUUUAUGAGAGAGAUUACCUCUGAGGAAGGGAGAAGAAUGCAGUGUUUGGUACAUACUUACACUAAACAUUAUGUGUUGUUUAUCUGAAAUUGAAAUUUAAUCAGGUAUCCUGUAUUUUAUAUGGCAACCAUAGUUAGGAAGGGAUAGAGAACAACUUCGGAUGACUGUAUUUGUUGCAAAUAUCUUCUCCCAGUCUGUGGCUUGUUUCCAGCAUUCUCUAUUGUUAUCAUGUGUCUUGAUGGACAGAAAUCAUAUUUAUUUAGUUGAACAAUGGGAACACAGGUGUUCAUUUUGUUAUUCUUUAUAGCUUUCUGUAUGUCUGAAAUAUCCCAUAAGUAAUAUUGAAAAUAUCUAUGCAAGAAAAUAAGAACUGAGACAUGUCAUAAUAAAGAUUCUCUGGAUAAAAUGCUUCAGGAUGUUAGGAAAAAUAACUCAUAUCCAGUGGAGGAGCUCACAGAGGUGCAAAACCUUGAUCUAUGAAUAACACAGAGAAAGGUCAAUAAAUUCUUGCCAAAGGAGCUAUAUGAAGAAAAGUAUGAAGCCAUGAAUGCACAAUGUAUAUCAAGAAGAGAAUGAAAAUAGUAAUUGUAAUAAUAAUGAUUAAAGUAACAGACAGUAUACAUGUCAUUUUAAAUAGCAUUUCUUGAGUGCUAUAUACUGGACAACAUUUUGAUUUUUUUUUUUAUUUCACUUAAUACUCUUAAAAGUCCCUUCAUACAAGUUUCAUAAUUUUCCCACUUUAAAAACAAGCUUUGGGAGUUCCCAUCGUGACUCAGUGGUUGAUGAAUCCGACUAGGAACCAUGAGGUUGCGGGUUUGAUCCCUGGCCUUGCUUGUGGGUUAAGGAUCUGGCGUUGCUGUGAGCUGUGGUAUAGGUUGCAGAUGCGGCUUGGAUCCCGCACUGCUGUGCCACUGGCCUACACCAGAGCCACAGCAACACGGGAUCUGAGCCAUGUCUGCGACGUACAUACACCAUGGCUGAUGGCAACGCCAGAUCCAUGAGCAAGGCCAGGGAUGAACUGGCAACCUCAUGCUUCCUAGUCCGGUUCAAUAACCACUGCACCACAAUGGGAACUCCUGGGUUUUUUUUAUUAUUAAUUUAUUUUUUUUCCCCACUGUACAGCAAAGGGAUCAAGUUAUCCUUAUAUGUAUACACUUUUCCCCCACCCUUUGUUCUGUUGCAAUAUGAGUAUCUAGACAUAGUUCUCAAUGCUACUCAGCAGGAUCUCCCUGUAAAUCUAUUCUAAGUUGUGCCUGAUAAGCCCAAACUCCCGAUCCCUCCUAUUCCCUCCCUCUCCCAUCUGGCAGCCACAAGUCUAUUUUCCAAGUCCAUGAUUUUCUUUUCUGUGGAGAUGUUCAUUUGUGCUGGAUAUUAGUUUCCAGUUAUAAGUUAUAUCAUAUGGUAUUUGUCUUUGUCUUUCUGACUCAUUUCACUCAGUAUGAGAGUCUCUAGUUCCAUCCAUGUUGCUGCAAAUGGCAUUAUGUCAUUCUUUUUUAUGACUGAGUAGUAUUGCA
This 3375-nucleotide long non-coding RNA is filed under the name Sus scrofa (pig). RNAcentral describes it as "lncRNA (ENSSSCG00035062444.1)". Lineage: Eukaryota; Metazoa; Chordata; Mammalia; Artiodactyla; Suidae. The record is from RNAcentral.